RNAcentral lists this ribosomal RNA (468 nucleotides) under uncultured bacterium. Its description in RNAcentral is "partial 16S ribosomal RNA". It matches the Rfam family "Bacterial small subunit ribosomal RNA", at positions 28 to 507 of the family's 1533-position model. The record is from RNAcentral.
GACGAACGCUGGCGGCGUGCUUAACACAUGCAAGUCGAACGGAAAGGCCCUGCUUUUGUGGGGUGCUCGAGUGGCGAACGGGUGAGUAACACGUGAGUAACCUGCCCUUGACUUUGGGAUAACUUCAGGAAACUGGGGCUAAUACCGGAUAGGAGCUCCUGCUGCAUGGUGGGGGUUGGAAAGUUUCGGCGGUUGGGGAUGGACUCGCGGCUUAUCAGCUUGUUGGUGGGGUAGUGGCUUACCAAGGCUUUGACGGGUAGCCGGCCUGAGAGGGUGACCGGCCACAUUGGGACUGAGAUACGGCCCAGACUCCUACGGGAGGCAGCAGUGGGGAAUAUUGCACAAUGGGCGGAAGCCUGAUGCAGCAACGCCGCGUGCGGGAUGACGGGCUGCGGGUUGUAAACCGCUUUCGCCUGUGACGAAGCGUGAGGGACGGUAAUGGGUAAAGAAGCACCGGCUAACUACGUG